GUCAGAGUUGCCAUCCCAGGGUCAGCGAGAGACCGGUCCUCGGGUCCAGGGCUGAAGCGUCCUUCCCCGACCUCCAGUUCCUGCCCAGGACUCGGGAGGCAGAGCAGGGGGGCAGCAUGUAACCAGCGCUCCCACAGGGCAGGGUGCGACCUCACCUUCCACGGCGGCGGCGGCCAGGUGGCGGGAACGCCGGGGCGGAGCUGGGGGACUGCGGGGACCCGACAGGCCAUCGUGCACCAGCUGCAGGUGUGGCGCGUUGAAGGGGUUCGCCCGCGCCAGGUGCGCUACGGACGAGAACAUCCUCCUGCGGGGGAGACAGAGGGCGGAGGUGAGAGAGACCCGGCGCCGGGCAAUGUCACCGGAGCCCCGCGAGACAUGCCCGGCUCUGCGCCCUUGAGGAGGUCACAGCUUCUUCCCCAGGGACGCCAAGCCCGGCCGGGCCCACGGCCAAGGCGGCGGCCACAAGGGACUCAAGGCUCCGCGCCGCGGCGAGGCCCGGUCGCGCUCACUUGCCUAAGAUGGCGAACACCCAACCGCUCGCUGGGCAAGGUUGCGGCUCACAGAGGCCGAAUGUCCUCCCGGCCCGAAGAUCCGUGCCCUUCGCGCGGCGUCACCGUGACGCACGCAGAGCGUCACUGCGCCACGCGCCUCUCAUUUGCGGAGAGGAGCGCAGAACCUGGACGUCAUCGCGUCCUCCUAGCAACCCUAUCCCCGCCCACGUCCAACCCCAGCCCUUCCGGCCCUGCUAGUGCGCAGGAGGAUUCCUACUGCGCAGGCGCAGAUCCAAAGCGCCCUCCUCCCCCACUCCCCUUUUUUUUUUAAAGUGUAGUCUUGGCCUUGGACGGGCAGGUGACCUACUCACUCUGUCCCUUCACCUUCCGGUGUUUUCUCCUUGGCGCCAGGAAUUUUUACAUGUCUUUAAGUGAUUGCGGGCAUAAACUUUUAAAGACAUGAAUGCUUAAGUGAUACGUUAUUCAGGUAUGGAAGCUAGGAUAUCACUACAAGAUCUUUGAUCGGAAUUCCUGCCAUCAUCGGACUUUUCAGAAAAAAAUUCCAUCACACUGACUUUUGACAUAGGCAUGUCUAAAUUUUCCACCAAGUUCUGGUGGAAAGGAUAUACAGGAAGAACUCAUACAAUACAUAAAACUGCUUCUGCCUCACAGAAUGUCCAUGGCCCCUGAGAACAGUCAGUCAAGGCUUCGUUCCUGGAGGCACAGGCAUGCGCUGACAUGAAAGUAACCGAUGAACUGUGUGCGUGUAAGACAGGACUGUGUGUACUUCAGACAUUUACAAGAUCAUCAUCACUCUGAUGUCAACAAGCGGGGGCCAAGUUCCACGAGGGAGAGUUUAGAAGCAAUCAAACCUGUUGUAAUUCUUGCGUUUAACAUUUUCCUGGGACGUUUAUCUCAUCUUUAUUAAGCCUUUUUAUCUAACCCAAGACACCACUAGAGCUGGCUCCUGUAUUGACUAUUGUAGUUAUACUAAGUCUACCUCUGCAGUCAGUGCUCUGCUGUGUCCUUUAAAAAUUCUUAACAUUUACAAACAAAAGACAUUUUCAUUCAUUUUGCCCUAGGUCCUUCAAAUUAUGUAAUUGGUCCUGGAUAGAAGAAAUACUUUUAGAGUUUAUGAAACAUCAAGAAGAUGU
Molecule: long non-coding RNA, 1645 nt
Filed under: Mus musculus (house mouse)
Lineage: Eukaryota; Metazoa; Chordata; Mammalia; Rodentia; Muridae
Description: long non-coding RNA chr10:91123402-91125047
Source: RNAcentral